Saccostrea cuccullata (small rock oyster) is the source of this 571-nucleotide long non-coding RNA. RefSeq lists it as uncharacterized. The transcript has 3 exons. The record is from RefSeq and is a predicted model, not a curated record. NCBI's taxonomy places the organism in Eukaryota, Metazoa, Mollusca, Bivalvia, Ostreida, Ostreidae.
CAUUAUUCGCGCGACAUUUGUCAACAACUUUGCACCAAGUAAACAAGGCUCUAAAAAGUAUUACAAACGCUGGAAAAGGAUGAAUUAUUGGUUGGGAAUUACUUUGGAGAUGAUGCCAAGUGUAUUUAGAGUUACAUGAGUCGAAUAACAAUGCCAGGCGGCCAUUUUUCAUUACGAUAGGAUUAAUCAAUGGAGGAAAUUCGGUUCAUCUGCACGUCACCACUUCCUGGAUCCAUUGGAAUCGAAAAGUCACGACUGGGACGGGUCAUGAAUCUGCACAUCACAAGUGUUCUGAUUUCAUCCAAAUCACAUUUUUAUACAGUUAACACAGUUACAUAAUAUAUUCCUUUGAGAUGUCCACAUAGUCCAGCACACGUUCACUUAUUUUGAAUUCAGCGUCAUCGGAAAAUGGUCAGGAUCCAUAUCCGGAAUUACAUCACUUGGCCUGGAAGGAUUCCUCAAGGUUGGGCAAGAUCUGAUGCCUUUGAUGGAGAAGGAGGAUUGGAAACGGGUGUGGCCACCCUAUCAUUCUCCAAGUUGUUAGGUGAAGAUGGAAGGGACUUAAAAGUUA